CAAAGGUUUGGUCCUGGCUUUACUAUCAAUUUUAACCUAACUUACACAUGCAAGUAUCCGCGCCCCCGUGAAAAUGCCCUAUGUUCCCCCGGGAACGAGGAGCUGGUAUCAGGCACCCUGCCGGAGCCCACGACACCUUGCUAACGCCACACCCCCAAGGGGCCCCAGCAGUGAUAAACAUUAAGCAAUGAGUGAAAGCUUGACUUAGUUAGGGUUAAGAGGGCCGGUAAAACUCGUGCCAGCCACCGCGGUUAUACGAGAGACCCAAGUUGAUAUGCACCGGCGUAAAGGGUGGUUAUGAUUUUUUUCCCAAAUAAAGUUUAAUUCCCUCAGAGCUGUCAUACGCACCCGAAGGUGAGAAACUCAACUACGAAAGUGACUUUACAAAAUCUGACCCCACGAAAGCUGGGACACAAACUGGGAUUAGAUACCCCACUAUGCCCAGCCGUCGCCACGAUAAUGAACUACCCACAUUAUCCGCCCGGGAACUACAAGCGCAAGCUUGAAACCCAAAGGACUUGGCGGUGCUUUAGAUCCACCUAGAGGAGCCUGUUCUAGAACCGAUAACCCCCGUUCAACCUCACCCUUCCUUGUCCCCACCGCCUAUAUACCACCGUCGUCAGCUUACCCUGUGAAGGCCUAACAGUAAGCAAAAUUGGCAAACCCCUAAACGUCAGGUCGAGGUGUAGCGAAUGGAGGGGGAAGAAAUGGGCUACAUUCCCUAACGAAGUGUAUACGAACAACACACUGAAACGUGUGUUCGAAGGAGGAUUUAGCAGUAAGCACAAAGUAGAGCGUUGUGCUGAAACCGGCCCUGAAGCGCGCACACACCGCCCGUCACUCUCCCCGAAAAAACCCACUAACUAACUAAAACACCACUAAAAACAAAGGGGAGGCAAGUCGUAACAUGGUAAGUGUACCGGAAGGUGCACUUGGUCAAU
RNAcentral lists this non-coding RNA (941 nucleotides) under Rhynchactis macrothrix. RNAcentral describes it as "12S rRNA". It matches the Rfam family "Bacterial small subunit ribosomal RNA". The record is from RNAcentral. Lineage: Eukaryota; Metazoa; Chordata; Actinopteri; Lophiiformes; Gigantactinidae.